UCUCUCUAUCCUCCGUUUUUUAUCUCCUCGACGAAUCCUCCGAAUCCCUCUCCCUCCGCGAUCUCUUUACCCCUUUUCGUCUCCUUCUCCGGCGAUGUCCUCCGCCGCCUCCGCCGCCGGGGCGUCGCCGCCGACGAAGCUCUGCUUCUGCCACCAGUGCGAGCGCUCCGUCUCCGUCUCCCCUCUCCCCGACGGCGACGUCUUCUGCCCCCUCUGCUGCGGCGGCUUCGUCGAGGAGCUCGACACCUCAAACCCUAACCCUAACCCUAACUCCAACCCUAGGCAGGUGUUGUCCUUCACCACCUCCGACCCCUUCUUCCUCGCCCCUUCCCCGUCGCCUCUCCCCUUCUUCUUCCCCCCCUCCUCUUCCCCCUCCCCCGCUAGCUUCGACCUCCGCCACCCCAGCGACAUCGCCUCCUUCUUCGGCUCCGAUCCCUCUGCCCUACGCUCCUUCACCUCCCCCCCCGGCGGCGCCGCCAUCUCCUUCGGCGGCGGCGGCCCAACGCAGCCCUUCAACCCCUUCGCCUUCCUCCACGACCACUUCCACCACCUCCUCUCCGGCGGGGCCAGCAUCCAGGUCGUCCUCGAUGGGGGCGGAAACGUCGGCGGAAACCUCGGCGACUACUUCCUCGGCCCCGGCCUCGAGCAGCUGAUCCAGCAGCUCGCCGAGAACGACCCCAACCGUUACGGAACCCCGCCGGCGUCUAAAUCCGCUGUCGCGAACCUCCCCGACAUCAAGAUCUCUUGCGAUCUGCUCGAUUCCGGCGAGGCGCAGUGUGCGGUGUGCAUGGACGCCUUUGAGAUCGGCUCCGAGGCGAAGCAGUUGCCGUGCAAGCACAUCUUCCAUAGGGAUUGCAUCCUCCCGUGGCUCGAGCUGCAUAGCUCGUGCCCGGUGUGCAGGUACCAGCUGCCCGCUGAUGAUCCGGGUUACGAUCAACAUAGGGGGGCGGCAGCGGCAGCGGCAGCACCGGCCGCUGGUCCUGCAGGUAGAGGAGCCCCGGGCGGUGGGAACUCGCCGGGGCCUCGGAUAGUGGAGAGGAGGUUUAGGAUCUCCUUGCCGUGGCCGUUCAGGGCUUUUGGAUCACAAGCUGAGGCUAGCAAUGCUGGUGAUGGUGGUGGAGGAGGAGUUGGUGGUGGUAAUGCGAAUUCUGGGGGACCAGGGAAUGCCGGGUCAGAAACUAGGCAAGAUGAUUUGGAUUGAAGAUAGUUGGAGUGCUAUAUCUGGAGGCCAGAGCCAUAAAUCUUAGUUGGGUAGACACAAGGACCAAGGAUGGAUGUAGAGUUUUAUAUUUGGAGGAGCCUAUCAGGAGUGACAUGAUCAGAUAGUGUUCCCUUAGCAUGUGACAACGCCAGUGAUUGACAGAUGAUAGGGGCCUGAGAUCGAGGAGACAGCUUACAUGGUCAACUAUUUGGCCUGCUUCCUUUCGAAUUCAAGAUUUCAACCCGGCGAGGGCAAAGCUGUCCACAACCCGGAGGAUGACUUUCACCUACAUCCUCCAAGGUACUGUUAAAUAUAAUUAGGAGUCUAAAGUGCUAUUUGGUUUCCUAUGUUUUUGAUCUUGGUGGAAGUGUGGGAAUCUGUUGAUCCAUUUCUGAGCUGCAAGAGAACACGGGGGAAGAGAUCGGUGAAUAGCUGUGUUUAUUUCAGUUCUUUCGUCUUGGAUUUGAUGUUGGAUCAAACAUUAUCGAAACAUUUUAACUUUUUUUCAUUAGAUUUUUUUUUUUUUUUAUUUUUGGGUUAUAUUGUUGAUGCCUUUUCAAGUUGAAUCUGCACUGUACAGAAUUUCGAUCAUAUCAACUCUUUAAUCAUUUUGGAUUUACAUAGGAUACGAAGAAUUUACGAUCUCCA
Molecule: RNA transcript, 1849 nt
Organism: Ananas comosus (pineapple)
Lineage: Eukaryota; Viridiplantae; Streptophyta; Magnoliopsida; Poales; Bromeliaceae
Gene name: E3 ubiquitin-protein ligase RING1-like
Exons: 4
Source: RefSeq, a predicted model, not a curated record